Molecule: ribosomal RNA, 447 nt
Filed under: uncultured bacterium
Lineage: Bacteria
Description: bacterial SSU rRNA
Rfam family: Bacterial small subunit ribosomal RNA
Source: RNAcentral
CCAGACUCCUACGGGAGGCAGCAGUGGGGAAUAUUGCACAAUGGGGGGAACCCUGAUGCAGCGACGCCGCGUGGGUGAAGGAGUACUUCGGUACGUAAAGCCCUAUCAGCAGGAAAGAAAAUGACGGUACCUGACUAAGAAGCCCCGGCUAACUACGUGCCAGCAGCCGCGGUAAUACGUAGGUGGCAAGCGUUGUCCGGAUUUACUGGGUGUAAAGGGCGUGUAGCCGGGCCGGCAAGUCAGAUGUGAAAUCCCAUGGCUCAACCUUGGAACUGCAUUUGAAACUGUUGGUCUUGAGUAUCGGAGAGGCAGGCGGAAUUCCUAGUGUAGCGGUGAAAUGCGUAGAUAUUAGGAGGAACACCAGUGGCGAAGGCGGCCUGCUGGACGACAACUGACGGUGAGGCGCGAAAGCGUGGGGAGCAAACAGGAUUAGAUACCCGCGUACCA